CUUCACUCUUCUUUCCUUCUUCCACUCUUCUUUCCUUCUUCUACUCUUCUUUUCUUUCUUCACUCUUCUUCCACUCUUCUUUCCUUCUUCCACUCUUCUUUCCUUUCUUCUUUCCUUCUUCCACUCUUCUUUCCUUCUUUCUCUCUUCUUUCUUUUCUUCUUUCCUUCUUCCACUCUUCUUUCCUUCUUUCACUCUUCUUUCUUUCCUUCUUCCACUCUUUUUUCCUUCUUUCACUCUUCUUUCCUUCUUUCCUUCUUUCACUUUUCUUUUUUUUCUUCUUUCCUUCUUCCACUCUUCUUUUCUUUCUUCACUCUUUUUUCUUUUCUUCUUUCCUUCUUCUUUACUUCUUCCACUCUUCUUUCCUUUCUUCUUUCCUUCUUAUACUUUUCUUUUUUUUCCUCUUUCCUUCUUCUUUCCUUUCUUCACUCUUCUUUCUUUUCUUCUUUCCUUCUUCCCUUCUUCUUUCCUUCUUUGACUCUUCUUUCCUUUCUUCUUUCCUUUCUUUACUCUUCUUUCCUUUCUUAUUUCCUUCUUUCACUCUUCUUUCCUUUCUUAUUUCCUUUCUUUCACUCUUCUUUCUUUUCUUCUUCCUUUCUUAACUUUUGCAUUUCAUGCACUGGUAUUUCCUUCAGGAAAUGCAUUUUCUAGUUACAGUGCAUGAAAUGCCCUGUAUUGUUAUUCCUUCGUUUCUUAUACUUAUUACAGUGCAUGAAAUGCCCUGUAUUGUUAUUCCUAGGCUUCUUAUUCUUCUUAUUAUUAUUCUUUGUACCAAACUUCUGCGCUUAAUUCAGCUUUAACCGCUUAACUUAGAAACUUCGUUCAAACUUUGUCGCUUAGGUCUUGUUAAGGACACUUAUGCUAUGUAUUUUUCAUUUUUCUAAACUUUAUACUUUUUAAAAUAUUAAAGAAAAACUAAUACAAUUUCUCCCAUUGACUUACAUUGGGCCAUUAUGACAUCAUAAUAGGGUCUUUAAACUGGCUUGCACCUGUGCUUCACUGACACCUGCGCCAAGGUUCCAAGGAACCUCUUCUCUCUGUCCCUCUCCAUUCAACUGUAUAACUAGGAAUAUUAUUCUUUCCUUCUUCCCUUCUUCCACUCUCCUUUCCUUUCUUCUUUCCUUCUUCCACUCUUCUUUCCUUCUUCUACUCUUCUUUUCUUUCUUCACUCUUCUUUCCUUCUUCCACUCUUCUAUCCUUC
This is a long non-coding RNA of Clupea harengus (Atlantic herring), 1199 nucleotides long. The record is from Ensembl. Lineage: Eukaryota; Metazoa; Chordata; Actinopteri; Clupeiformes; Clupeidae.